GCCUACGGGACGCAGCAGUAGGGAAUCUUCCACAAUGGGCGAAAGCCUGAUGGAGCAACGCCGCGUGGGUGAAGAAGGUCUUCGGAUCGUAAAACCUUGUUGUUAGAGAAGAAAGUGCGUGAGAGUAACUGUUCACGUUUCGACGGUAUCUAACCAGAAAGCCACGGCUAAUUACGUGCCAGCAGCCGCGGUAAUACGUAGGUGGCAAGCGUUAUCCGGAUUUAUUGGGCGUAAAGGGAACGCAGGCGGUCUUUUAAGUCUGAUGUGAAAGCCUUCGGCUUAACCGGAGUAGUGCAUUAGAAACC
RNAcentral lists this ribosomal RNA (305 nucleotides) under uncultured bacterium. RNAcentral describes it as "bacterial SSU rRNA". It matches the Rfam family "Bacterial small subunit ribosomal RNA", at positions 337 to 634 of the family's 1533-position model. The record is from RNAcentral.